This is a small nuclear RNA of Erinaceus europaeus (western European hedgehog), 185 nucleotides long. Its record names the gene U2. It matches the Rfam family "U2 spliceosomal RNA". From Rfam's summary of the family: U2 is a small nuclear RNA (snRNA) component of the spliceosome (involved in pre-mRNA splicing). Complementary binding between U2 snRNA (in an area lying towards the 5' end but 3' to hairpin I) and the branchpoint sequence (BPS) of the intron results the bulging out of an unpaired adenosine, on the BPS, which initiates a nucleophilic attack at the intronic 5' splice site, thus starting the first of two transesterification reactions that mediate splicing. The record is from Ensembl. Lineage: Eukaryota; Metazoa; Chordata; Mammalia; Eulipotyphla; Erinaceidae.
ACUGAUUCUCAAUCUUUUGGCUGGGCUGAGGUUCGGUAUCUGUUCUUAUCAUGUUUAUAUCUGAUACAUCCUCUGUCCAAGGACAAUAAAUUAAAUGGGUUUUGGAGAUUAGGGGAUGCAAUAGGAACUUGCUCCAUCCAUUUAUGACUCAGCCUGGUAUUAAGUCUAGGAAGGGAAAACCCCUU